Long non-coding RNA from Lineus longissimus, 2589 nucleotides. RefSeq lists it as uncharacterized. The record is from RefSeq and is a predicted model, not a curated record. The transcript is spliced from 4 exons. NCBI's taxonomy places the organism in Eukaryota, Metazoa, Nemertea, Pilidiophora, Heteronemertea, Lineidae.
ACACAUAUUAGGCCUGAAUAAGACUUUAGAAUUUGAAGUGGUGGUGACGAUGCCGAUAUCCAAGAUGGCGGAAUUAUACCAGUGGUCAAAUCUCAUCUAUUUUGGGUAAUUGCAUCAUUAUUUCUUUUUGUGAUUGGUGAUUUGUAAAAUUGAGAAUGAUUGAAAAAUCAGUAUUUUUUCACCCAAAGGCAUGAGUGAACAUUUGAUAAGUUUAUUGUGAUUUAAUUGGUAAUUUGGUCGACAUUUUGACAAUUAUAUUUAGCAAUAUUUCGAUAAAUGCGGACCUGCUUCUUCCUCUUUUCGUAGUGACGGUGUUUCGAUAACUCAGUUAGACUUCGAGAUCUACAUUUUCGACAAAGGCCUGGUGUAAUAUUACGUACUUGAUGAAGGUUUAAUGACACGAAUGAGUACAAGUACAUUACAUUUUUCGACGAAGGCCUUCUGUAAUUUCAUACGCUUCUUACGCAACAUUCAAUAGAUUUAUUUACUGUAUUAUCAUUUCGACCAAGGCGAAUUCGACACUUCAAUUACACAAGGUUAGUAACUUUUGUUCACAAAAUCCAAAUGGAGGCAAAUACAGAACAAUCAAACUUAGUCAUUCCAGUCAGUUACUGAAGCACAGUGAAAACUGUCGGGAGCAGUGCAACUGAUGGCAUGUCAAACUUCCAGUGACUGUCCCUGUCCAUAUAUUUCAAGACAGUACAAAUCUUGUAAUCAUUUUGUUUAUGCAAUGUACGUUAUUAUGUAUCAUUUCAGCACAAUCAAACUUAGUCAUUCCAGUCAGUUACUGAAGCACAGCGAAAACUGUCUGAAUUAGUGCUGCUGAUGGCAUGUAAUUACUCUACUACCACUACCAGUGACAGUCAAUGUCCAUAUAUUUUCAAGUGUGCGAAAUUAGUACUCGUCUACUUCUUAGUGUUAUUUGAAUGCAAUGUAUGUUAUAAAAAUAUUUGUUCAACACUAUAUCAACAUUCUCAUUCCUGUCAGUUUCUGAAAAUCAGCUAAAGCAAUCGCUACCAAUGCAGCUGAUAACAGCAAUUCUUUUUGUUCCCAAUGCCCAUCCAUGACAAUAUAUUUCACGCAUGUGACAAUCAUGUAAUCAUCCUGUUUUUUGUGUUCUAUUCAUGCAAUAAAUAAAUUCAGUAUUUUCAAAUCAUUGGUGCUACAAAACUAUUCUCAUUAUAGAUUAUUCAUAUUUUAUAAAAUGCUGUCAUGUCAAAUUUUGUGUCCUAUAAAUCAUUAUGAAGUCGGCAUUUUAUAUACAACUUUUGUACUCCUCCUAAAUAAACAUACAAAUCUUGUUUUAUGUAAACUUUGUAUAUGUGACCCGUCACAGCAAAACCAGGCGCAUGUCGCUCUGAGCUUGGCAGGUUGAGACGGACUGUUUGUUCAUUUAUCUAGUGUCUGCCUUUUGUAAAAUAUGAGCACAUCAAUUUCUUCCAUUAUCUCCUGGUGUCAUUUAGGCUCAUCUUCUGUGCGACAUGUACCUGGUUUUGCUGUGACGGGUCACAUAUUCUAUAGAUAUACAACACUCUAAUGUCACAAUGCCUCUCUCACUCGCUUUUAUAUAGCAAGAUGUAUGAAUAAACAUGACACACCAACUAUGUACAAAAUUGCUAACAAACUGCACCAUUUGUCAGUACACCACAUGAAAUACAGAGAUAUGUCUUAAUUCUAAUCUUUCAUUAGCGACACCAUUUCUUACCCGAGUGCCUCCUUCAUUCAUACAUCUUGUACUUUAACUCAAGAUACCCAUCUUUGAAUAUUUUUAGUAUACCAAGUACUACAAUGUCAAUGUAUUGAAGUCAUGUUCUUGUAGUGUUAUUGGCUUUCUAUUAUCUUGUCAAAAUACCACUUGGUUCUCGCAAAAUCUCAAUAAAAACAAAUGCUAUUGCAUGUAUUGCAUAUUCUAACAGCUAUCCACUGUAUCGAUUUAUCCAUCAUCUGUACUAUUUGUCACAAAAAUGUUAUAUUAUGUAAAUCAUAUUUCAUUACAUAAUGCACACUGCCAAUUACUGCUGAACCAUUCAUAUGUCAUUUAAAUAAAUAAUUUUCAACUUUUUAAAACCGUCUUAUAGUACUGUUCUUGUCACUUAGCUGAACCAAUUGCUCUAUAGCAUGAAAUUUCCAGAAAUGCCCCAGGGACUGAAAAGUGCUGUUUUAACAGAGAGGUGUCCUAAACUGAGAAGUCGAGUUGAAUGGAAACAACCAAUUUGGAACCAAAAACUACUGUCCUUAUUAAAGAGGUUGUCCUCAAUAGAAAGGUGUCCACAAAAAGUAGGUCCACUGUAUAUGAAAGUACAAACCCUGGUACAUGUAGUGACAUCAUCUACUCCUCGAUGUGGACACCUGCAAAUGCAGCGACAAUGUCACAUCAGUUAUUUAAUUCAUCGUCCUUUGUGCAGAUGGCACCACCCAUCAAGCAUGUUGGUGACGAAUAGUGUCGCAGCAUUUCGUCACCGAGCUUACACGAAAAUGCACUGUCAUUCAUUCAGCCAUAAGUGUAAGACUGUAGGGUUGUUUCCAACCAAAACAUGUUCGAAAUGUGUCAAGCAUUCGGAACACCCAAAGACUGAUUAGAGAAGUCAA